Molecule: ribosomal RNA, 440 nt
Filed under: uncultured bacterium
Lineage: Bacteria
Description: partial 16S ribosomal RNA
Rfam family: Bacterial small subunit ribosomal RNA
Source: RNAcentral
CCUACGGGUGGCAGCAGUGGGGAAUAUUGCACAAUGGGGGAAACCCUGAUGCAGCGACGCCGCGUGAGUGAAGAAGUAUUUCGGUAUGUAAAGCUCUAUCAGCAGGGAAGAAAAUGACGGUACCUGACUAAGAAGCCCCGGCUAACUACGUGCCAGCAGCCGCGGUAAUACGUAGGGGGCAAGCGUUAUCCGGAUUUACUGGGUGUAAAGGGAGCGUAGACGGCCAGACAAGUCAGAAGUGAAAGCCCAGGGCCCAACCCUGGGACUGCUUUUGAAACUGCCGGGCUGGAGUGCAGGAGAGGUAAGCGGAAUUCGUGGUGUAGCGGUGAAAUGCGUAGAUAUUGGGAGGAACACCAGUGGCGAAGGCGGCUUACUGGACUGUAACUGACGUUGAGGCUCGAAAGCGUGGGGAGCGAACAGGAUUAGAUACCCCUGUAGUC